Molecule: ribosomal RNA, 669 nt
Filed under: uncultured metazoan
Lineage: Eukaryota; Metazoa
Description: partial 18S ribosomal RNA
Source: RNAcentral
GAGCUCUCAAUCUGUCAAUCCUUCCGGUGUCCGGGCCUGGUGAGGUUCCCCGUGUUGAGUCAAAUUAAGCCGCAGGCUCCACUCCUGGUGGUGCCCUUCCGUCAAUUCCUUUAAGUUUCAGCUUUGCAACCAUACUUCCCCCGGAACUCAAAGACUUUGGUUUCCCGGAAGCUGCCCGUCUAGUCAUGGGAUUAACACAGACGGAUCGCUAGUCAGCAUCGUUUAUGGUUAGAACUAGGGCGGUAUCUGAUCGCCUUCGAACCUCUAACUUUCGUUCUUGAUUAAUGAGAACGUUCUUGGCAAAUGCUUUCGCAGUAGUACGUCUUGCGACGGUCCAAGAAUUUCACCUCUAGCGUCGCAAUACGAAUGCCCCCGUCCGUCUCUAUUAAUCAUUACCUCGGGUUCCGAAAACCAACAAAAUAGAACCGAGGUCCUAUUCCAUUAUUCCAUGCACAACUAUUCAGGCAUUAGCCUGCUUUGAGCACUCUAAUUUUUUCAAAGUAAACAUGCCGGCCACGCGGGACACCCGGUGAAGAGCACCCCGAGCGAGCCGACUAGCUGUUCGGACCGACAGUAAAUCGCCGAGGGCGCACCGUCGGUCCGGAACUGAGAUCCAACUACGAGCUUUUUAACCGCAACAACUUUAAUAUACGCUAUUGGAGCUGGAAU